UACACCCUGCAGUGUUCGAGGUGCUUUCAUUAAACAGCUCUUUGCCUUUGAAACCUUACGGGAGCCAACAACCUCCGUGGAAGAUGCCAGGCCGUAAACCGGAAGGCAGAUGACACGGGGCGGCGCCCACCUUGAUAUAAAAAGGACAUGAGCCUUUGGGCACACGGCACAGGCGGGGUGCCA
RNAcentral lists this small RNA (183 nucleotides) under Opitutaceae bacterium. RNAcentral's name for it is "6S RNA". It matches the Rfam family "6S / SsrS RNA". From Rfam's summary of the family: E. coli 6S RNA was the first non coding RNA to be sequenced, but its function was unknown until recently. It consists of 184 nucleotides that fold into an extended hairpin structure with a large single-stranded internal bulge. The 6S RNA specifically associates with RNA polymerase holoenzyme containing the sigma70 specificity factor. The record is from RNAcentral. Lineage: Bacteria; Pseudomonadati; Verrucomicrobiota; Opitutia; Opitutales; Opitutaceae.